AGGACGAACGCUGGCGGCGCGCCUAACACAUGCAAGUCGAGCGAUAACCAGGGCUUGCCCUGGGGACAGCGGCGAACGGGUGCGUAACACGUGAGCAACCUGCCCCAAAGACCGGGACAACCCGAGGAAACUCGGACUAAUACCGGAUGCCCUCACCGGGUCGCAUGGUCUGGUGAGGAAAUGGAUUCCGCUUUGGGAUGGGCUCGCGGUCUAUCAGCUUGUUGGUGGGGUAACGGCCUACCAAGGCGACGACGGAUAGCUGGUCUGAGAGGACGAUCAGCCACACUGGGACUGAGACACGGCCCAGACUCCUACGGGAGGCAGCAGUGGGGAAUCUUGCGCAAUGGGGGAAACCCUGACGCAGCGACGCCGCGUGCGGGAUGAAGGCCUUCGGGUUGUAAACCGCUUUCAGCAGGGACGAAAUUGACGGUACCUGCAGAAGAAGGCCCGGCCAACUACGCGCCAGCAGCCGC
RNAcentral lists this ribosomal RNA (473 nucleotides) under uncultured bacterium. RNAcentral describes it as "SSU rRNA". It matches the Rfam family "Bacterial small subunit ribosomal RNA", at positions 26 to 518 of the family's 1533-position model. The record is from RNAcentral.